RNAcentral lists this transfer RNA (73 nucleotides) under Thyrsites atun (snoek). Its description in RNAcentral is "tRNA-Leu". It matches the Rfam family "tRNA". From Rfam's summary of the family: Transfer RNA (tRNA) molecules are approximately 80 nucleotides in length. Their secondary structure includes four short double-helical elements and three loops (D, anti-codon, and T loops). Lineage: Eukaryota; Metazoa; Chordata; Actinopteri; Scombriformes; Gempylidae. The record is from RNAcentral.
GUUGGGGUGGCAGAGCCUGGUCAUGCUGAAGAUCUAAGCCCUUUAUGCAGAGGUUCAAAUCCUCUCUCCAACU